UUGUUACUCCCUUCGUCCGAAAAAGCUUGUUCCUCGAAUGAAUGUAUCUAGCACCAAGUUAGUGCUAGAUAUAUCCAUUUGAGGUACAAGUUUGAGACAAACUUUUCUGGACGGAGGGAGUAUGCA
Molecule: non-coding RNA, 126 nt
Organism: Triticum urartu
Lineage: Eukaryota; Viridiplantae; Streptophyta; Magnoliopsida; Poales; Poaceae
Source: Rfam